AUACGUAGGGGGCGAGCGUUGUCCGGAAUGAUUGGGCGUAAAGGGCGCGUAGGCGGCCUGUUAAGUCUGGAGUGAAAGUCCUGUUUUCAAGAUGGGAAUUGCUUUGGAUACUGAUGGGCUUGAGUGCAGGAGAGGUUAUCGGAAUCCCCGGUGUAGCGGUGAAAUGCGUAGAGAUCGGGAGGAACACCAGUGGCGAAGGCGGGUAACUGGACUGCAACUGACGCUGAGGCGCGAAAGUGUGGGGAGCAAACAGGAUUAGAUACCCCGGUAGUCCACACUGUAAACGAUGAAUGCUAGGUGUAAGAGGUAUCGACCCCUUUUGUGCCGGAGUUAACACAAUAAGCAUUCCGCCUGGGGAGUACGGCCGCAAGGUUGAAACUCAAAUGAAUUGACGGGG
This 397-nucleotide ribosomal RNA is filed under the name uncultured bacterium. Its description in RNAcentral is "partial 16S ribosomal RNA". It matches the Rfam family "Bacterial small subunit ribosomal RNA", at positions 523 to 918 of the family's 1533-position model. The record is from RNAcentral.